This 1233-nucleotide ribosomal RNA is filed under the name Leuconostoc mesenteroides subsp. jonggajibkimchii. Its description in RNAcentral is "bacterial SSU rRNA". It matches the Rfam family "Bacterial small subunit ribosomal RNA", at positions 249 to 1479 of the family's 1533-position model. Lineage: Bacteria; Bacillati; Bacillota; Bacilli; Lactobacillales; Lactobacillaceae. The record is from RNAcentral.
UUGGUGGGGUAAAGGCCUACCAAGACAAUGAUGCAUAGCCGAGUUGAGAGACUGAUCGGCCACAUUGGGACUGAGACACGGCCCAAACUCCUACGGGAGGCUGCAGUAGGGAAUCUUCCACAAUGGGCGAAAGCCUGAUGGAGCAACGCCGCGUGUGUGAUGAAGGCUUUCGGGUCGUAAAGCACUGUUGUAUGGGAAGAACAGCUAGAAUAGGAAAUGAUUUUAGUUUGACGGUACCAUACCAGAAAGGGACGGCUAAAUACGUGCCAGCAGCCGCGGUAAUACGUAUGUCCCGAGCGUUAUCCGGAUUUAUUGGGCGUAAAGCGAGCGCAGACGGUUUAUUAAGUCUGAUGUGAAAGCCCGGAGCUCAACUCCGGAAUGGCAUUGGAAACUGGUUAACUUGAGUGCAGUAGAGGUAAGUGGAACUCCAUGUGUAGCGGUGGAAUGCGUAGAUAUAUGGAAGAACACCAGUGGCGAAGGCGGCUUACUGGACUGCAACUGACGUUGAGGCUCGAAAGUGUGGGUAGCAAACAGGAUUAGAUACCCUGGUAGUCCACACCGUAAACGAUGAACACUAGGUGUUAGGAGGUUUCCGCCUCUUAGUGCCGAAGCUAACGCAUUAAGUGUUCCGCCUGGGGAGUACGACCGCAAGGUUGAAACUCAAAGGAAUUGACGGGGACCCGCACAAGCGGUGGAGCAUGUGGUUUAAUUCGAAGCAACGCGAAGAACCUUACCAGGUCUUGACAUCCUUUGAAGCUUUUAGAGAUAGAAGUGUUCUCUUCGGAGACAAAGUGACAGGUGGUGCAUGGUCGUCGUCAGCUCGUGUCGUGAGAUGUUGGGUUAAGUCCCGCAACGAGCGCAACCCUUAUUGUUAGUUGCCAGCAUUCAGAUGGGCACUCUAGCGAGACUGCCGGUGACAAACCGGAGGAAGGCGGGGACGACGUCAGAUCAUCAUGCCCCUUAUGACCUGGGCUACACACGUGCUACAAUGGCGUAUACAACGAGUUGCCAACCCGCGAGGGUGAGCUAAUCUCUUAAAGUACGUCUCAGUUCGGAUUGUAGUCUGCAACUCGACUACAUGAAGUCGGAAUCGCUAGUAAUCGCGGAUCAGCACGCCGCGGUGAAUACGUUCCCGGGUCUUGUACACACCGCCCGUCACACCAUGGGAGUUUGUAAUGCCCAAAGCCGGUGGCCUAACCUUUUAGGAAGGAGCCGUCUAAGCAGACAGUUUGG